RNAcentral lists this ribosomal RNA (273 nucleotides) under uncultured prokaryote. RNAcentral's name for it is "partial 16S ribosomal RNA". It matches the Rfam family "Bacterial small subunit ribosomal RNA", at positions 524 to 798 of the family's 1533-position model. The record is from RNAcentral.
UACGUAGGUGGCGAGCGUUGUCCGGAAUUACUGGGUGUAAAGGGAGCGUAGGCGGGAGUGCAAGUUGAAUGUUAAAUCUAUCGGCUCAACCGAUAGCCGCGUUCAAAACUGCAUUUCUUGAGUGAAGUAGAGGUUGACGGAAUUCCUAGUGUAGCGGUGAAAUGCGUAGAUAUUAGGAGGAACACCAGUGGCGAAGGCGGCCAACUGGGCUUUACUGACGCUGAGGCUCGAAAGCGUGGGGAGCAAACAGGAUUAGAUACCCUGGUAGUCCCU